UCAUAAGAUCAGCAUACUAUUGUCCCUUACUUCGCUUGGACAAAAGAAAGUUACAAGAACUAGUAGAGCCAACAUUUUUGCAUCACUAACAUGAAUUUGAUUUUUCAAAGGUUUGCAGUGAUUAAGAUUUAAUAGACAAUAUUGAACCAUAGAGGAGUGGAGAGAGACAGUGACCAAUAAAUGGAAGUGGGACUUGUGAAAAGCAUGUCCAACAUGUAAUAGCUUAUUAGGGUUUUUCUUUCACAAGUAAAAUGAGUUCAUAAAAAGCAGGACUAAACCCCCCCACCCCCUCUCCUUCCCCCUUUUUUUGAUAGGCAAAUGUCAUAAAAAGCUCCAAAUGGAGCACCAACCCAAGUACAAAGGGAGCAUACCCAGACCAUCCACAGAAAAACAUAAACAAAACGAAUUGGAAACAUACCAAGCAAUUUUAUACAUUUUGAUAGAUAAACUAAGCUGAUGUAUUAAAAGCACUUGAAAAAUACCCACAAAGUACACAUGGAAUACACAAAUAGUGCCACCAAGCAAAUUCAUAUAUUAAGAAAUGUGAAAGUUUCUUAGGCAUCCCUGGUCUAUGUUAUUUUACACUGGGGGUAGAACUGUAGAGGAGCAUGACACUGUAAGAAAAUACUGCUUCCCAGACAUGUUCCCAUGUUCUCAUAAAGAGCCACUGAGGUCUAUGUUAUUUUACACUCGGGGUAGAGCUGUAGAGGAGCAUGACACUGUAAGAAAAUACUGCUUCCCAGACAUGUUCUCAUGUUCUCAUAAAGAACCACUGAGGCUAACCAUAUGUUGCCCUCACUGUCAUCUACUACUCCAAGGCAUUUUAGACACAUCAAAAUCCAGAUUCGUAUUGGUACCUAGAGACAUAAAGCCCUGUUCCUCUAACCAGGGACUAGGAUCUACUUUACUCAUGAAAAGAAAUCCGAGUCCUUGACUAGACUAACCAAUGCACUUCCAGAAAAUCAAC
RNAcentral lists this long non-coding RNA (967 nucleotides) under Vitis vinifera (wine grape). Its description in RNAcentral is "long non-coding RNA (VVIN_LNC001300)". Lineage: Eukaryota; Viridiplantae; Streptophyta; Magnoliopsida; Vitales; Vitaceae. The record is from RNAcentral.